RNAcentral lists this RNase P RNA (327 nucleotides) under Campylobacter concisus. RNAcentral's name for it is "RNase P RNA component class A". It matches the Rfam family "Bacterial RNase P class A". From Rfam's summary of the family: Ribonuclease P (RNase P) is a ubiquitous endoribonuclease, found in archaea, bacteria and eukarya as well as chloroplasts and mitochondria. Its best characterised activity is the generation of mature 5'-ends of tRNAs by cleaving the 5'-leader elements of precursor-tRNAs. Lineage: Bacteria; Pseudomonadati; Campylobacterota; Epsilonproteobacteria; Campylobacterales; Campylobacteraceae. The record is from RNAcentral.
CUGGCACGGUAGGCGGUCGCUUUUGCACCACGCAAAAGAGGAAAGUCCGAGCUGCGAUAAGACAAGGUUCCAUCUAACGGAUGGCUAGGGAAACCUAAGGGAUAGUGUAACAGAAAGUAAACUUCCGCUUUGGCGGUAAAGGUGAAACGGUGGAGUAAGAGCCCACCGGCACGCUUGGUAACUUGCGUGGCCAUAUAAACCCAACCUGCAGCAAGAAGGGAUGGUUUUGGUCUUAUAUUAAAACCCUUCGCUAGAGUUUGUUUGUAAAAGCAAGCGUAGAUAAAUGAUCGCUCAAGACAGAACUCGGCUUAACGCCGUGCCUUUAAA